GUACAUGCCCGAGAUAAGUUUAUGUAAAGCCAGAUAGAACACCAACCUGGCUUACGCGGUCUGACACUCAAAUCACGUAGGGUAUUAAAGGUCGAACAGACCUACUUUCAAAGCGUCUACGCCUUGAAGCUAUUAUCCCUGAUUCAACAUCGAGGUGCCAAUCCCUUUAGCCAAUACGAACUCUACUAAAGGAUUAGCCUGUUAUCCCCGGCGUAACUUCUCCUAUCGAAUCGAAUAUAAU
Molecule: ribosomal RNA, 241 nt
Filed under: Magallana gigas (Pacific oyster)
Lineage: Eukaryota; Metazoa; Mollusca; Bivalvia; Ostreida; Ostreidae
Description: Crassostrea gigas (Pacific oyster) partial 16S ribosomal RNA
Source: RNAcentral